Long non-coding RNA from Rhipicephalus microplus (southern cattle tick), 191 nucleotides. The record is from RefSeq and is a predicted model, not a curated record. NCBI's taxonomy places the organism in Eukaryota, Metazoa, Arthropoda, Arachnida, Ixodida, Ixodidae.
AGAUCCUCGCAUGUCACGCCAGGCGCCUCUACCCGGACGUGAAAAAGAACGAGAGUGGAGAAAUGACCGUGAUGUGCCGCUCGCCUGCGCUGCCCGGCCACGGAAGCAAAAAGUUCCAGGACACUGAGGCCCUACGUAUGCGCAACAUGGUGGCUCGACAGGUUGGAGAGUGCAUUCGCGGACGCUCGACA